Molecule: ribosomal RNA, 424 nt
Filed under: uncultured bacterium
Lineage: Bacteria
Description: bacterial SSU rRNA
Rfam family: Bacterial small subunit ribosomal RNA
Source: RNAcentral
UAGGGAAUAUUGGGCAAUGGAUGCAAGUCUGACCCAGCCAUGCCGCGUGCCGGAUGAAGGCCCUCAGGGUUGUAAACGGCUUUUAUUCGGGAAGAAGAGCAGGGAUGCGUCCCUGUGUGACGGUACCGAAUGAAUAAGCACCGGCUAACUCCGUGCCAGCAGCCGCGGUAAUACGGAGGGUGCGAGCGUUGUCCGGAUUUAUUGGGUUUAAAGGGUGCGUAGGUGGCUGUUUAAGUCAGUGGUGAAAUACGGUUGCUCAACAAUCGAGGUGCCAUUGAUACUGAAUAGCUUGAAAUAAUUGGAGGCUGCCGGAAUGGAUGGUGUAGCGGUGAAAUGCAUAGAUAUCAUCCAGAACACCGAUUGCGAAGGCAGGUGGCUACGAUUUAUUUGACACUGAGGCACGAAAGCAUGGGGAGCAAACAGG